Molecule: ribosomal RNA, 603 nt
Filed under: uncultured bacterium
Lineage: Bacteria
Description: bacterial SSU rRNA
Rfam family: Bacterial small subunit ribosomal RNA
Source: RNAcentral
CGUGCUUAACACAUGCAAGUCGAACGAUGAUGCCCACUUGUGGGUGGAUUAGUGGCGAACGGGUGAGUAACACGUGAGUAACCUGCCCUUGACUCUGGGAUAAGCCUGGGAAACUGGGUCUAAUACCGGAUAUGACCUUCCAUCGCAUGGUGGUUGGUGGAAAGCUUUUGUGGUUUUGGAUGGACUCGCGGCCUAUCAGCUUGUUGGUGGGGUAAUGGCCUACCAAGGCGACGACGGGUAGCCGGCCUGAGAGGGUGACCGGCCACACUGGGACUGAGACACGGCCCAGACUCCUACGGGAGGCAGCAGUGGGGAAUAUUGCACAAUGGGCGGAAGCCUGAUGCAGCGACGCCGCGUGAGGGAUGACGGCCUUCGGGUUGUAAACCUCUUUCAGUAGGGAAGAAGCGUAAGUGACGGUACCUGCAGAAGAAGCGCCGGCUAACUACGUGCCAGCAGCCGCGGUAAUACGUAGGGCGCAAGCGUUAUCCGGAAUUAUUGGGCGUAAAGAGCUCGUAGGCGGUUUGUCGCGUCUGCCGUGAAAGUCCGGGGCUCAACUCCGGAUCUGCGGUGGGUACGGGCAGACUAGAGUGAUGUAGGGGAGAC